UACAGAGGUCCCGAGCGUUGUUCGGAUUCAUUGGGCGUAAAGGGUGCGUAGGCGGCUUCCUAAGUUUGAUGUGAAAUCCUGGGGCCCAACCCUGGAACUGCAUUGAAUACUGGGAGGCUAGAGUACUGGAGAGGAAACUGGAAUUUACGGUGUAGCAGUGAAAUGCGUAGAGAUCGUAAGGAAGACCAGUGGCGAAGGCGGCUCACUGGACUGGUAUUGACGCUGAGGUGCGAAAGCGUGGGGAGCAAACAGG
RNAcentral lists this ribosomal RNA (253 nucleotides) under uncultured bacterium. Its description in RNAcentral is "partial 16S ribosomal RNA". It matches the Rfam family "Bacterial small subunit ribosomal RNA", at positions 524 to 776 of the family's 1533-position model. The record is from RNAcentral.